RNAcentral lists this ribosomal RNA (253 nucleotides) under uncultured bacterium. Its description in RNAcentral is "partial 16S ribosomal RNA". It matches the Rfam family "Bacterial small subunit ribosomal RNA", at positions 524 to 776 of the family's 1533-position model. The record is from RNAcentral.
UACGUAGGGUGCGAGCGUUGUCCGGAAUUACUGGGCGUAAAGGGCGCGUAGGCGGCCUGUUAAGUCGGACGUGAAAUCCCCGGGCUCAACCCGGGAACUGCGUCCGAUACUGGCAGGCUUGAAUCCGGGAGAGGGAUGUGGAAUUCCAGGUGUAGCGGUGAAAUGCGUAGAUAUCUGGAGGAACACCGGUGGCGAAGGCGGCAUCCUGGACCAACACUGACGCUGAGGCGCGAAAGCUAGGGGAGCAAACGGG